GACGAACGCUGGCGGCGUGCUUAACACAUGCAAGUCGAGCGGUAAGGCCCUUCGGGGGUACACGAGCGGCGAACGGGUGAGUAACACGUGGGUGACCUGCCCUCAGCUCCGGGAUAAGCCUGGGAAACCGGGGUCUAAUACUGGAUAUGACUCCAUGACGCAUGUUGGUGGGGUGGAAAGCCUUGUGCGGCUGAGGAUGGGCCCGCGGCCUAUCAGCUUGUUGGUGGGGUGANGGCCUACCAAGGCGACGACGGGUAGCCGGCCUGAGAGGGCGACCGGCCACACUGGGACUGAGACACGGCCCAGACUCCGUACGGGAGGCAGCGAGUGGGGAAUCUUGCGCAAUGGGCGAAAGCCUGACGCAGCGACGCCGCGUGAGGGA
This 382-nucleotide ribosomal RNA is filed under the name uncultured bacterium. RNAcentral's name for it is "bacterial SSU rRNA". It matches the Rfam family "Bacterial small subunit ribosomal RNA", at positions 28 to 408 of the family's 1533-position model. The record is from RNAcentral.